RNAcentral lists this ribosomal RNA (497 nucleotides) under uncultured bacterium. Its description in RNAcentral is "partial 16S ribosomal RNA". It matches the Rfam family "Bacterial small subunit ribosomal RNA", at positions 28 to 507 of the family's 1533-position model. The record is from RNAcentral.
GAUGAACGCUGGCGGCGUGCCUAAUACAUGCAAGUCGAGCGAACAGACGAGGAGCUUGCUCCUCUGACGUUAGCGGCGGACGGGUGAGUAACACGUGGAUAACCUACCUAUAAGACUGGGAUAACUUCGGGAAACCGGAGCUAAUACCGGAUAAUAUAUUGAACCGCAUGGUUCAAUAGUGAAAGACGGUUUUGAUGUCACUUAUAGAUGGAUCCGCGCCGCAUUAGCUAGUUGGUAAGGUAACGCCUUACCAAGGCAACGAUGCGUAGCCGACCUGAGAGGGUGAUCGGCCACACUGGAACUGAGACACGGUCCAGACUCCUACGGGAGGCAGCAGUAGGGAAUCUUCCGCAAUGGGCGAAAGCUUGACGGAGCAACGUCGCGUGAGUGAUGAAGGUCUUCGGAUCGUAAAACUCUGUUAUUAGGGAAGAACAAAUGUUUAAGUAACUAUUCACGUCUUGACGGUACCUAAUCAGAAAGCCACGGCUAACUACGUG